ACAUACUGUCUCCUGCAAUUGAACACUACAGAGUCAACUCAGUUACUUUUUCUCCUCUCAGACUUUUGCAGUGUUUAGUUGCUUCAGGUGGAAAGAUGUUGAGAAUCUUCGUCAAGUUCUUCCUGGUUGCUGUGUUGUGCAUUUGCUGGACCCAUGGACGUGUAGUUGAAGCUCCUCUGAAGAAUGCACUUGACAAUGUUCCAAAGCAGUACAGUGAGUCUCCGCUUUUCUGCUAUCCCGUUGGUGGUUGGACUGAAGUAGAAGGGAUGUGGCAAUGGUGCAUGGAUAAUUGCCUUCACAAUCCUCCAAACUGCCCCGAAAGCCAUUGCAAAUGUUUUGAAAAAUAUUAUUAUGAUGACGAGUAGCAUCUCUCCUCCGGAUGUUACUUUUGCAGUUGCAACAUAAACUGCAAAACGGAUCGGAGAUUUUUGACUACUACCAUUACGCCCAAGCAGACCUUAUGAAGUUAUCCUUAUGUCGAGUGGUUUGAGUUUAUAUUCAUUCUGGAUGUAAUUCUAAAUGGGCAGAAUAUUUCUAAAUAUUUAUGUUUGUUAAAUGGAUUGAAAUGUUAAACUUUUAACUUGUAAUUAAUUCGUAAUGAGCACAAUAUUAUAAAAUUUAUGAAUUUAAGAAUUUGUCAUAAAAUGAUGAUUUAUAAUGUUUUUGAAACGAUGUACAUGGUUUUUUUUAGUGGUUAAUUAUUAUAUUCUUUUGGAUUUUUUUAAUUAUUCAAACAAUGAUUGUUAAUUAAUUAAGACUAAAUGCAGCACAAUU
Molecule: long non-coding RNA, 774 nt
Organism: Macrobrachium nipponense
Lineage: Eukaryota; Metazoa; Arthropoda; Malacostraca; Decapoda; Palaemonidae
Exons: 4
Source: RefSeq, a predicted model, not a curated record